Molecule: long non-coding RNA, 1071 nt
Filed under: Carassius auratus (goldfish)
Lineage: Eukaryota; Metazoa; Chordata; Actinopteri; Cypriniformes; Cyprinidae
Description: lncRNA (ENSCARG00000054387.1)
Source: RNAcentral
AUGUCAAUGUGGUUUUUUAUCCCAAAUAAGAUAUUUGACCAACUUGGUGGCCUAUCUUUCUUACUGAAAUGUAAUUUUCUGCCUGGUAAGUUACCUAUUUCCUUAUCUAACUUCCACCAUCAAUGUCUUCUUUCCUGGAAAUUGUGUUUUGUCCAUGGAUUCUCCCCCCAUAAAGUUCUCCUUUGGAAUAAUGCUGAUAUAACGGUUAGAAAUAAAUCACUUUUUUUCCCUAGAUGGUUUAAUAAUAACUUGAACUCUAUUCUAUCUGUGUUUGACAAGUCUGGUAAUAUUUUAACUUACAAACAAUUUAUGAAUCUUCAUAAUUUUCCAGUCCCACCAAAGGAAUAUAAUAAUUUGAUGAGAGCCAUCCCAGUAGGUUUAACUCAGUUAAUUUCAAGUCACCUUAAAUUCAGUAAAGGCAACAGUGUUUAUCCGGCUUUAAGUUUGGGGGGUAUUGGUAUAUUAGAUCGGAAAUGCAAUAACAGACAUAUCCGCAAUAUUUUUCAGACAAAAAGAAAGAUUGUUCCAAGAGGGAAAUUCUAUUGGGGUUCCUUUUUAACAAAUAUAAAUUGGAGAAAGGCCUGGCUCCUACCAAGUAAAUUUUGCAUUUCUAAUAAGGUAAAGGAGAUCCAUUAUAAAAUCCUUCAUAAAAUUUACCCCGUUAAUCUGUCAAUCUCAAAAUAUUCUAAUGUCGAUGAAUCAUGCUCGUUUUGUGGUUUUGUGGAGGAAACAGCUGCCCAUUUGUUUUUUGAUUGCGGUGUUACAAACAAAUUAUGGGGUGACAUAAGCACCUACAUUUCUAACCUUACAAAUGUGUCCCACACUUUUAUCCUCAAAGAUGUUAUCUUUUAUUAUGAAAAUCCAAAGCUAUUAUCUGUUGAAUAUGUUGUUAAUUUUCUUAUAUUGAAUGCAAAAUUUUUCAUUCAUAAACAGAAAUGGCUUAAGUCUCCUUUGUCUUUCCCCCUUUUUCUUAUGGAAUUGGACUCUCUUGUUUCAUCUCUUAGACUUACAGAGAACAAAAAGAGUAGCAAGUUUUUGAUGUAUUUUGACAACUUUUCCAAAAGAAUGUAA